UACGAGAUCGCGACAGUUUGGGCUUUUUGAUUCUAUAUAUAUAUAUAUAUAUCAUCAUCAUCAUCAGGCAAAAAGAAAUAUCAAAAUAACCAUCUAAAAAUAGUCUAAUGCUAAAGGCCUUGGCCAAGCAAACGAGGACAUAUGUUGCCAGAAACAUGUUGUCCGCGCGCAUGUUUCCUCGAUGUUUCCCAGAUGAUGUUUCCAUGGCCACCAUGGAAACAUUGUUGCGCGCCACAAAAUACGUUUCCACAGCGAGGUAGAAACAUUUCAUGUUUCCAAGCGCGCGUAAACAUGUUUCCCGAUGUUUCGUGACCGUUUGGCCACCCUCGUUUGGCCAGGGCCUAAUUUACCGACUUCAAUCGAAAAUGAAUAGCUCACAUGAAUCAGCCGACGUAAAUGGACACUAAAUUGAUACUUUCUCACACUUACUCUGCUAGGAUGAAAACCUGGCGGCUCAGAGAGGCUCUUUAAAAUCUUUUCUUUGCUGGGGCGCUAGGAUAGGGGCUGAGAGUGCCAUCAAUCACUGAGCUGUCAGACAAUGAGCAAUAAGUCACUGCCAUGUCUCGACAGUUGCAUGGGCCACAAUCCCCAAUAAUAAUAAGCUUUUGGAUUUGGUUUACUGCGCCUAAUAAACAAAAUAGAUUUUAGAUAUCUGGACAUAGCAAAACAACUUUUUUUAAGGAAAAAGAGUCAAUUUUUUUUGAACGACUGUAAUACUUGAAUACCAACGGCAAUAAUAGCGGAAAUUUCCUUUUCAAAUUUCAAGGGGCCGUAUGACGUAAAUUCACAUCAAUAUUACGCCUUCUCGCUACAUUCAUUAGAAAGAGCAUUGUUUGAUAUACUCUUGGUGAAAAAAUUAGCUCAAAACUCCAACAGCAAAGUAGUAGAAAGUCAUAAUAAAGCCCGUAUAAAACGUUCGAAAAUCGGCGGCCAUUGCUUGAGCUUGAUUUGGAAAGCACUUAUGACGUCACUUGUCCCCAACAAGUCGGCUCAUUACAUUCAGAACCAUUGGCAAAUAGACGUGUAUACUUGGUGUCUGGUCUCCAAACAUUAAUAUGGAGCGGUUAUGGGAAGAAAGACGGGCCUGUUUUUAAAUUUGAUUACCUGACCGAGAUCCAGAAGAAACCUUUCGCAUUCUAAACCCCUGGUAGCCGGAGAAAACUGCCUUGAAUUACGAGCGUCUGCUAUAAAAAGCGAUCAUCUGCCGACCACGUGCGUAAUUUCAACACGAAAGGAAUCAACAAGUCCACCUCUACAAGGGUACAACUCCUAACAAGAUAUCUUUCAGAUUGUUCCCUCUUAUCCCUCACUGCCUAAUACAGUUUGCAGCAAAAGUUUGGUCUUUUUUAAUUUUUUAUUUUAUUUUGGAAUAAGCUCCCUUUUAAACUAUCUAAAAAUAGUUAGCUUGAAGACUGUCACAAAAUAUUCUAAUGCAUGGGAAAUUAAAUAAAAUAUGGAACUAAUC
Long non-coding RNA from Nematostella vectensis (starlet sea anemone), 1465 nucleotides. RefSeq lists it as uncharacterized. The record is from RefSeq and is a predicted model, not a curated record. Lineage: Eukaryota; Metazoa; Cnidaria; Anthozoa; Actiniaria; Edwardsiidae. The transcript is spliced from 2 exons.